RNAcentral lists this ribosomal RNA (497 nucleotides) under uncultured bacterium. RNAcentral describes it as "partial 16S ribosomal RNA". It matches the Rfam family "Bacterial small subunit ribosomal RNA", at positions 28 to 507 of the family's 1533-position model. The record is from RNAcentral.
GAUGAACGCUGGCGGCGUGCCUAAUACAUGCAAGUCGAGCGAACAGACGAGGAGCUUGCUCCUCUGACGUUAGCGGCGGACGGGUGAGUAACACGUGGAUAACCUACCUAUAAGACUGGGAUAACUUCGGGAAACCGGAGCUAAUACCGGAUAAUAUAUUGAACCGCAUGGUUCAAUAGUGAAAGACGGUUUUGCUGUCACUUAUAGAUGGAUCCGCGCCGCAUUAGCUAGUUGGUAAGGUAACGGCUUACCAAGGCAACGAUGCGUAGCCGACCUGAGAGGGUGAUCGGCCACACUGGAACUGAGACACGGUCCAGACUCCUACGGGAGGCAGCAGUAGGGAAUCUUCCGCAAUGGGCGAAAGCCUGACGGAGCAACGCCGCGUGAGUGAUGAAGGUCUUCGGAUCGUAAAACUCUGUUAUUAGAGAAGAACAUAUGUGUAAGUAACUGUGCACAUCUUGACGGUACCUAAUCAGAAAGCCACGGCUAACUACGUG